RNAcentral lists this ribosomal RNA (408 nucleotides) under Lactococcus lactis. RNAcentral's name for it is "bacterial SSU rRNA". It matches the Rfam family "Bacterial small subunit ribosomal RNA", at positions 28 to 403 of the family's 1533-position model. The record is from RNAcentral. Lineage: Bacteria; Bacillati; Bacillota; Bacilli; Lactobacillales; Streptococcaceae.
GACGAACGCUGGCGGCGUGCCUAAUACAUGCAAGUUGAGCGCUGAAGGUUGGUACUUGUACCAACUGGAUGAGCAGCGAACGGGUGAGUAACGCGUGGGGAAUCUGCCUUUGAGCGGGGGACAACAUUUGGAAACGAAUGCUAAUACCGCAUAAAAACUUUAAACACAAGUUUUAAGUUUGAAAGAUGCAAUUGCAUCACUCAAAGAUGAUCCCGCGUUGUAUUAGCUAGUUGGUGAGGUAAAGGCUCACCAAGGCGAUGAUACAUAGCCGACCUGAGAGGGUGAUCGGCCACCAUUUGGGGACUGAGAACACGGGCCCCAAAACUCCUUACGGGGAGGGCAGCCAGUAGGGAAUUCUUUCGGGCAAAUGGGACGAAAAGUUCUGGACCCGAGCAAACCGCCGCCGUG